UACGUAGGGUGCGAGCGUUGUCCGGAAUUAUUGGGCGUAAAGAGCUCGUAGGCGGUCUGUCGCGUCGAAUGUGAAAACCCGGGGCUCAACUCCGGGCUUGCAUUCGAUACGGGCAGGCUAGAGUUCGGUAGGGGAGACUGGAAUUCCUGGUGUAGCGGUGAAAUGCGCAGAUAUCAGGAGGAACACCGGUGGCGAAGGCGGGUCUCUGGGCAGAUAUUGACGCUGAGGUGCGAAAGCGUGGGGAGCAAACAGG
This 253-nucleotide ribosomal RNA is filed under the name uncultured bacterium. RNAcentral describes it as "partial 16S ribosomal RNA". It matches the Rfam family "Bacterial small subunit ribosomal RNA", at positions 524 to 776 of the family's 1533-position model. The record is from RNAcentral.